RNAcentral lists this ribosomal RNA (255 nucleotides) under uncultured bacterium. RNAcentral's name for it is "partial 16S ribosomal RNA". It matches the Rfam family "Bacterial small subunit ribosomal RNA", at positions 524 to 776 of the family's 1533-position model. The record is from RNAcentral.
UACAUGUGGGGCAAGCGUUGUCCGGAAUUACUGGGCGUAAAGAGCGCGUAGGCGGCACGGUACGACCGGUGUGAAAGCCCCCCGGCUCAACUGGGGAGGGUCACCGGUAACGGCCGAGCUACGAGUGCAGGAGAGGGAAGUGGAACUCCGGGAGUAGCGGUGAAAUGCGUAGAGACCCGGAGGAACACCAGUGGCGAAGGCGGCUUCCUGGUCUGCAACUGACGCUGUGGCGCGAAAGCUAGGGGAGCAAACGGG